RNAcentral lists this ribosomal RNA (255 nucleotides) under uncultured bacterium. RNAcentral's name for it is "partial 16S ribosomal RNA". It matches the Rfam family "Bacterial small subunit ribosomal RNA", at positions 524 to 777 of the family's 1533-position model. The record is from RNAcentral.
UACGUAGGGUGCGAGCGUUAAUCGGAAUUACUGGGCGUAAAGCGUGCGCAGGCGGUUUUGUAAGCCAGAUGUGAAAUCCCCGGGCUUAACCUGGGAACUGCAUUGGUGACUGGCAGGCUUUGAGUGUGGCAGAGGGAGGUAGAAUUCCACGUGUAGCAGUGAAAUGCGUAGAGAUGUGGAGGAAUACCGAUGGCGAAGGCAGCCUCCUGGGCCAACACUGACGCUCAUGCACGAAAGCGUGGGGAGCGAACGGGA